GGCUACGUAGCUCGCUGGUUAGAGCACAUCACUCAUAAUGAUGGGGUCACAGGUUCGAACUCGUCGUAGCCACCA
RNAcentral lists this transfer RNA (75 nucleotides) under Salmonella enterica subsp. enterica. RNAcentral's name for it is "tRNA-Met". It matches the Rfam family "tRNA". Rfam says of the family: Transfer RNA (tRNA) molecules are approximately 80 nucleotides in length. Their secondary structure includes four short double-helical elements and three loops (D, anti-codon, and T loops). Lineage: Bacteria; Pseudomonadati; Pseudomonadota; Gammaproteobacteria; Enterobacterales; Enterobacteriaceae. The record is from RNAcentral.